This is a long non-coding RNA of Oncorhynchus mykiss (rainbow trout), 2250 nucleotides long. RefSeq lists it as uncharacterized. The record is from RefSeq and is a predicted model, not a curated record. NCBI's taxonomy places the organism in Eukaryota, Metazoa, Chordata, Actinopteri, Salmoniformes, Salmonidae.
ACAGUACCAAUGUGCGAAACAAUAACAGUUGCCACAAAACACGGGUGAAAACAACACCCGGACAAAACCAGACGGAAACGUACCGACCUAAACAAAUAACAAUCACACACAAAGACAUGGGGGAAACAGGGGGUUAAAUACAUGACCAGUAAUUGGGAAAUGAAAACCAGACGAGACAAAACAAAUGGACAAUGAAAAAUGGAUCAGCGAUGGCUAGAAGACCGGCGACGUCGACUUCCAAACACCGCCCGAACAAGAAGAGGCAUCGACUUUGGCAGAAGUCGUGACAUCUAGUCCCAAGAAAAGGAAGCUAUCUAGAGAGAACAGUGUUGUGGAGAAGACUGGAAAGAUGAAGACAAAUUGCAGAGACGGUCAGAAUUCUCAAUCAAAUAAGUAAUUUAUUUCAAAUGCCAGAUAUUCUGUUGUAUAUAAAACAUUAAUGAUAUUUUAUUUUCAGUUUGUCCAUAAAAGCGCUGGAGCCAUAAGAUGUGUCUGAGUAAUCCCGAGAUGGUCAUUGUCAUUGGAGGAGCGUAUGACCAAACCCGCUGUGAGGACUCCCUAUGGAAAUAGGUGAGAUGAGUCGACUGUUUACUAAUAUUGAUAACUUGUGUAAAACAACUGGGAUAGAUUUUGUCCUGUGCCAUCUUAUUAAAAUGCCCUAGUUUUGUCCUGUGCCAUCCAAGCUGCUGUCCUGGAGACAAGGCCUACAGAAACGCUCUGUACAUUUUUAACCCAGAUUUUGAGCUCUGGUACCAACCCAUUGUGGAGGGAUCUGACCUCUACCUAGGAUUGUGUCAAUGUUCCUUGAUUAUAUUUCUGUAGAGGCAUUGGGCUAUUACAAUACUUUGCUUAAUGUAUUUAACCAUUACAGGACGACAGUGUUUAUUUAACAAACACAUUUUAUGUUUACAUAAAACAGGCUCUAAACCAUUUUUUUGUCCAACCGGUUGCUCAUUUUUGGUGGCAGGAAGACUGCAAUCUACCUGAACAACCUUAACAUUUUGCGUCUCGGUAAGGCUGUGACAAAGAGUGGUGAUUUGGAUUACGCUACACAAAGCUAGUUACAACUUAAUCUUCAAAUGCAAUUUAGUUUAUUUUAGCAAAAGGCUUUAUGGAGUGCACAGCUGUGAAAUAUGAGAUCAUGCCAUCACUGCCUCGAGGAUAUCAUGCAGCACUGCCAGUAUCAGACAACAGGAUGCUGGUCAGUGGAGGUUGUAGUGCUAUUGGUGCCUUGCAGGACAUCCAUAUCUUCAAUGUGGGUUCUUUUCAGACACCAGUAUGUGGAGUUCAGUGGUAUCCCCUCUGCUCUGCGCCAAGCCUCGUGCCGGACACAGCAUGAACAACCUGGGAGGUUCUGUCCUCCCAGGCACUGUCAAACAGAAGCAGGGCGAGCAUACCAACACCCACAGCACUCUGCUGGUGUUUGGGGGCUCAGACUGCGCCGGGAUCUUCUUCAAUGACCCAGCGAAGUGCACAGUGGAGAUCCCUGGAGAUAAGAGACUGGACCUUAAGGAGAGACUAUAACAGCCUUAUGGGGAAUAAGGGGGAAAAAUUUGACUUUAUAUCCGUGUCUGGCUUACAAAUAAUUCUGAAUGAUAUGAGUGAAUGUAUCAUGGGCAGAACUAAUACAGGGACUGUUGAGUCAUUUUUAUUUGCUCUUCUGUUACAUUAGGCUUGGAUGUAAUUAAGUCUUCAGUAACAGUUUUAUUGUGGCCACUGAAGGCUGUAGUCUAGCCUGAUUUGCUCUUUUCUGGAGGGGGAUGUUGAUUGUCAGUUAUGGUGCAAGUUAUGCCUUUUUAAUCACACUGUUGUCAGGUGUCUGACAUUACAUUAUGGGUUGCUAACUUUUUUAUAUUGAUUUUUAAGUGCCAUUCUCCCCAUCUGAGAAAUGGUAUAGGCACCAGAUCUAACAAACAACAUCUCUCCUGUGUUCUAGAUAUUUUCUCACCAAUGUGUGUUGAAAGAAAAUAACUUUCUAUUUAGUUUACAUUUUUUAAGCAUGGGUUAAUUAACUGCUGCAUGAUAUUAGUUGAACUUCAGCUAUUUUACUAAACCAAUUAUUAAACAAAGAGCAGACAGCCAUUUCCACUUUCCUCAUGUGUAUACCAGUGGGCUGGUAUUGGGCACUUUCAUGUUGUCUAUUGUAUUUAUCUUCACGAAUCCACUAUGUUCCAGUGUCAUGUUGAGCAUAUGUCAAGAUGGGGGAACGUGCUGUAUCAGAGGUUAAAAUGUACAUAUUCAAACUCAACU